GCUCCGCAGGGAGUGGCGGACGGGUGAGUAACACAUGGGUGACCUGCCCUUUGGUGAGGAAUACCGGCGAGAAAUCGCCGACAAGACCGCAUACGCUCGGCCUGCGCAAGCAGGCUGCGCAAAGCUCGUUGCGCAAGCAAAGGGCGCCAGAGGAUGGGCCUGUGGCCGAUUAGCUGGUUGGUGGGGUAACGGCUCACCAAGGCGACGAUCGGUAGCUGGUCUGCGAGGACGAUCAGCCACACUGGGAUUGAGAACGGCCCAGACUCCUACGGGGGGCAGCAGUGAGGAAUUUUCCGCAAUGGACGCAAGUCUGACGGAGCAACGCCGCGUGCAGGAGGACGCUUCUCGGA
Molecule: ribosomal RNA, 350 nt
Filed under: uncultured bacterium
Lineage: Bacteria
Description: bacterial SSU rRNA
Rfam family: Bacterial small subunit ribosomal RNA
Source: RNAcentral